This 218-nucleotide ribosomal RNA is filed under the name uncultured bacterium. Its description in RNAcentral is "partial 16S ribosomal RNA". It matches the Rfam family "Bacterial small subunit ribosomal RNA", at positions 30 to 244 of the family's 1533-position model. The record is from RNAcentral.
AUUGAACGCUGGCGGCAGGCCUAACACAUGCAAGUCGAGCGGUAACAGGGGAAGCUUGCUUCUCGCUGACGAGCGGCGGACGGGUGAGUAAUGUAUGGGGAUCUGCCCGAUAGAGGGGGAUAACCACUGGAAACGGUGGCUAAUACCGCAUAAUCUCUGAGGAGCAAAGCAGGGGAACUUCGGUCCUUGCGCUAUCGGAUGAACCCAUAUGGGAUUAG